RNAcentral lists this ribosomal RNA (360 nucleotides) under uncultured bacterium. RNAcentral describes it as "bacterial SSU rRNA". It matches the Rfam family "Bacterial small subunit ribosomal RNA", at positions 53 to 401 of the family's 1533-position model. The record is from RNAcentral.
ACAUGCAAGUCGAGCGGACCGGGCGGAAGCUUGCUUCCGCUUGGUUAGCGGCGGACGGGUGAGUAACACGUGGGUAACCUGCCCGUAAGACCGGGAUAACUCCGGGAAACCGGAGCUAAUACCGGAUAACACCGAAGUCCGCAUGGUCUUCGGUUGAAAGGCGGCUUCGGCUGCCACUUACGGAUGGGCCCGCGGCGCAUUAGCUAGUUGGUGAGGUAACGGCUCACCAAGGCGACGAUGCGUAGCCGGCCUGAGAGGGUGACCGGCCACACUGGGACUGAGACACGGCCCAGACUCCUACGGGAGGCAGCAGUAGGGAAUCUUCCGCAAUGGACGAAAGUCUGACGGAGCGACGCCGCG